UAACCCCUGCGAUGUACGUUAAGACACUCCACCGGUUUUGAGCCAACACUCAUACCUAGUGAACCCGAUCUCUUUCUACUAAAAACCAGCCUCCUUUGAGUGGACUUUUGCGGUAGCAAGGAGGGUACACACCUGCACAUGCAGGUUCAAAACAUGGAGUCAAACGGCAUUGUGGGGAUUAA
This 182-nucleotide non-coding RNA is filed under the name Phascolarctobacterium sp. RNAcentral describes it as "6S RNA". It matches the Rfam family "6S / SsrS RNA". From Rfam's summary of the family: E. coli 6S RNA was the first non coding RNA to be sequenced, but its function was unknown until recently. It consists of 184 nucleotides that fold into an extended hairpin structure with a large single-stranded internal bulge. The record is from RNAcentral. Lineage: Bacteria; Bacillati; Bacillota; Negativicutes; Acidaminococcales; Acidaminococcaceae.